Molecule: non-coding RNA, 48 nt
Organism: Schistosoma rodhaini
Lineage: Eukaryota; Metazoa; Platyhelminthes; Trematoda; Strigeidida; Schistosomatidae
Source: Rfam
AUCCAGCUGACGAGUCCCAAUUAGGACGAAACGCAAGUCAAACUGGAU